CACGGGGUUUGCCCUGUGUUCCCCACAUCUUUUGAGGGCAGACAAGGUCAGUACAAGCCACGGUGUGAACCAUGGAGUGCCCAGAGCAUCCCUGGCUCUCCCAGCCCAGGCAGGAGGGCAGGAGGUGGGGGCUGGUCCCCCACUUUGGAGACUCCAGCGCUGCCGGCGGCUUCCUGGAGCCUGGUUGUUGUAAAUCCCAAAUGUGCACUUUUUUUUUCCAGCCUAAUUUUCUCAAGAAAUGACCCAGUUCUAGCACUCGGGAACUGGCAUGGGUCCUACUGGCAAAUGUUUCUCAUCUGUUUCCAAUGAUGCGUCCAGUGUGACCUUUUCUGCUUAAGUAGCUUACACAAUGAAAAUACAUGAAUGUCAAAUCCUAAUCUUGCAUAACUCUGAAAGCAGGACCAUACAUUUACCAGCACCAAGGGACUUUUUUUCCCCAUCCUUUGCAGAAAGUAAGGAGGAAACAGCCAGCACUGUGCAAUUGCAGCACAGGGAGAACUCACCCAUAAGCCUCUCAUCCCCAGAAUUCACAAGGUGCUCCAGCCUCCUGUCCCGUGUGCUGCAGGACGGCUCCCCUGAGGCCACGCACCUUCCCCGACCUCGGAAUGGCUCUCGGGUGGCUCUGGGCUCUCUCCACCGCGCUGCUGUGGGGCUGCCUGCUCUCUUCCUCCUCCUCCUCCUCCUCCCACAUCACAGGUAAAGCCCGGCGUGCUCUUCGUGUUGCUUCACAUGUAACUCGGGUCCUUUAUGAAGUUAAUCCUCCAACCAGCGCUUUUCUUGUGUGUGUGUGUGUUACAGCGAGGGGCUGGUUUAUAAACCUGUACUCGAUUAUGUAAAUGUAUCAUGUGUUCAUGGCUAUUUUUCUGAAUAUUUUCAAAAGGAGCAGAAAUUGCCUUUGGUGCACAGUGAAUAUUAUGUUUGAUAUGGAGUUAUCAAAUAUAAACACCAUUUGGAUAUAUAAAUGCUCCUGAGCGUGGUCCCAGCCAGGUGGACUGUAUGAGGUGUAAGAAACACAAGGCUUAUUCAUACUUGGUCAAUAAUAGUUUUUUCCUAAAAAAAAAAAUACUGCUCUGCAAGCGAUCAUCCAUAGGAAUGGCACCCUUUGCUUCAACCCCUGGAGCACCUCUUUCCUGCACCCCA
This 1140-nucleotide long non-coding RNA is filed under the name Calidris pugnax (ruff). RNAcentral's name for it is "lncRNA (ENSCPUG00000011296.1)". The record is from RNAcentral. Lineage: Eukaryota; Metazoa; Chordata; Aves; Charadriiformes; Scolopacidae.